GGGGGGCAACCCCCGAGUAGAGUGGCGAACGGGUGAGUAAUACAUCGGAACGUGUCCAGUAGCGGGGGAUAACCUCUCGAAAGAGAGGCUAAUACCGCAUACGACCUACGGGUGAAAGAGAGGGAUCGCAAGACCUCUCACUAUUGGAGCGGCCGAUGUCGGAUUAGCUAGUUGGCGGGGUAAAAGCCCACCAAGGCGACGAUCCGUAGCUGGUCUGAGAGGACGGCCAGCCACACUGGAACUGAGACACGGUCCAGACUCCUACGGGAGGCAGCAGUGGGGAAUUUUGGACAAUGGGCGCAAGCCUGAUCCAGCCAUGCCGCGUGAGUGAAGAAGGCCUUCGGGUUGUAAAGCUCUUUCGGCGGGAACGAAAAGGUCCGUGUUAACACCAUGGAUCCAUGACGGUACCCGCAGAAGAGGCACCGGCUAACUACGUGCCAGCAGCCGCGGUAAUACGUAGGGUGCAGGCGUUAAUCGGAAUUACUGGGCGUAAAGCGUGCGCAGGCGGUUUGCUAAGACAGGUGUGAAAUCCCCGGGCUUAACCUGGGAACUGCGCUUGUUACUGGCAAGCUAGAGUGUGGCAGAGGGGGGUGGAAUUCCACGUGUAGCAGUGAAAUGCGUAGAGAUGUGGAGGAACACCGAUGGCGAAGGCAGCCCCCUGGGCUAACACUGACGCUCAUGCACGAAAGCGUGGGGAGCAAACAGGAUUAGAUACCCUGGUAGUCCACGCCCUAAACUAUGUCAACUGGUUGUCGGGGAAGCAAUUCCUUGGUAACGAAGC
Molecule: ribosomal RNA, 781 nt
Filed under: uncultured Pseudomonadota bacterium
Lineage: Bacteria; Pseudomonadati; Pseudomonadota
Description: bacterial SSU rRNA
Rfam family: Bacterial small subunit ribosomal RNA
Source: RNAcentral